Molecule: ribosomal RNA, 260 nt
Filed under: uncultured bacterium
Lineage: Bacteria
Description: partial 16S ribosomal RNA
Rfam family: Bacterial small subunit ribosomal RNA
Source: RNAcentral
ACCGGCGCACGGGUGAGUAACACGUAUCCAACCUGCCGAUGACUCGGGGAUAGCCUUUCGAAAGAAAGAUUAAUACCCGAUGGCAUAGUUCUUCCGCAUGGUAGAACUAUUAAAGAAUUUCGGUCAUCGAUGGGGAUGCGUUCCAUUAGGUUGUUGGCGGGGUAACGGCCCACCAAGCCUUCGAUGGAUAGGGGUUCUGAGAGGAAGGUCCCCCACAUUGGAACUGAGACACGGUCCAAACUCCUACGGGAGGCAGCAUG